GGGGAUGCCGGGAUUCGACAGAGUACGAAGAGCAAUAAGGGCAAGUCGAGCACGUCAGGUAACCUCGUUAAACUUCCUGGCACACGGCAACUGCCGACAAUCAGAGCCUUCGGGCUCUCCCCCUCGCCGCCUAAUACGCGUUGAGCGUCUCUCUGGGAUGUCGUUCGAGAACGACAUCCCCUUGUCUACGCCCUGACGGACAGACGAGGCGUAACCACCCAGGGCCGCUCAGCUCGCGCCACCACCUGAGGCAGAGCUGCUAAGACAACCAGGUUAAGCCCCGAGCACAUCUCGUCUGCUGAUAGCUCCUGGCCGACAAUGAUAACAGACUAAACUUGUAGCCCUUCUUGUUUGACGUGCUUUGGACAGGGGGUUCAACUCCCCCUCAUCUCCACCA
RNAcentral lists this transfer-messenger RNA (397 nucleotides) under Patescibacteria group. RNAcentral describes it as "CG2-30-54-11 sp001873755 Standard tmRNA". It matches the Rfam family "transfer-messenger RNA". Rfam says of the family: Bacterial tmRNA, also known as 10Sa RNA or SsrA, is named for its dual tRNA and mRNA-like properties. Its role is to liberate the mRNA from a stalled ribosome. The record is from RNAcentral. RNAcentral also lists the same sequence under 1 other name.